CCCUACCAGGAUCUUCUGAGCUAAGUUCUCAUCUCCUUCUGGGGGCCUUCCUUAAACUCCUUCUGGCACUCACUGCUUCAUGCUUCCAGAAAGCCAUGUGCAGUUUCCUAUCCACCAUGUAAAGCGAGCAUCUUGUGGCCAUAUUGACAGACUCAGAGUACCUGUUUCAAAUGUUUGGGUCAGAUGCUGCUUUUCCCUUCAGUGCUGUGCAGCUCUGGUGUGUCGGCCUCCAGCUUUUCCUGGGGUCACAGACCUCGCGACCACCAGGUGCCCAAGGAAAUCAGUCGUUGAGGCGAACGGCUUCACUUCUUGUCCCAUUUGUGUGUGUGGCUGGAAUUCUCUAGCCUGAAUGAUUCAUUUAGACUCCAUAGACCACCACCUGUAUUCACAGAGUCUCAGACCGACUUUUAAGAUGCAUUUCAUUUUUGUCUCAAGGUUACAUAUCUAACCAGUGUGUUAUAAAGGGUAUUGGCCACAGGUAGAGAAUGUAUCAUAUUCCAUAUUUCUAAAAUGGCUUAUGGCAAUUGCUUUAAGAGAAUUAUCCAUGAUUUCAUCCUAAAGCAAACAAGUUUCCAUUUGUGUCACCUUGUAUUUCUUGUCUAUGUACAUACUCAGUGUUUGCAUUUUACAAUAAAACCAAAGAUAGAAUUUUAGUCUUAAUUUUCCAUAAUAUUAUGGCAUGCAUAUUAUCCAAGAAAAUUUGUUUCCAAAACAAAAAAUUCCAAAAAUUUCUAUCCAAGAAAAUUUGUUUCUCUUUUUUUAAAA
RNAcentral lists this long non-coding RNA (765 nucleotides) under Homo sapiens (human). Its description in RNAcentral is "HSALNT0329954". Lineage: Eukaryota; Metazoa; Chordata; Mammalia; Primates; Hominidae. The record is from RNAcentral.